AUUGAUCCUGGCUCAGGACGAACGCUGGCGGCGUGCCUAAUAUUUCAAGCAGAGACGAACCUUUAAAAGCUUGCUUUUUGAGGUUAGCGGCGGACGGGUGAGUGGGGCGUGGGCAACCUACCUGUAAGACUGGGAUAACUUCGGGAAACCGGAGCUAAUACCGGAUAAUUCUUUUCUACGCCUGUAGAAGCGCUGAAAGACGGCCUCCGCUGUCACUGACAGAUGAGAGCGCGGGGGGUUACCUAAUUGUUUUUUUGGGAGAGCGGCAGCAGCCGCCCGCCGCACCCACGUUGAAGCCCGCCCCCCCCCGGGGGGGGGGCGGGGCACACACCUCACGGCCGGAGAUGCGUCGGCGAGUGCGCGGAGCCCGGGGACGGGGCGCAGGCGGCCACGGGCCGGGGGGAGGCACGCGGGGAGGGGCGGCGGGGCGCUCCGCGGCCCGGCGGGGGGGGGGGGCGACGAGCGCCGC
RNAcentral lists this ribosomal RNA (469 nucleotides) under uncultured bacterium. RNAcentral describes it as "partial 16S ribosomal RNA". The stretch from base 46 to 384 matches the Rfam family "Bacterial small subunit ribosomal RNA", at positions 58 to 351 of the family's 1533-position model. The record is from RNAcentral.